Molecule: long non-coding RNA, 2020 nt
Organism: Bombus pyrosoma
Lineage: Eukaryota; Metazoa; Arthropoda; Insecta; Hymenoptera; Apidae
Exons: 4
Source: RefSeq, a predicted model, not a curated record
AAGUGUAUCCUGUGUGUUAAGAAAUGUUGUACGAGGCGGAGAAAUAUACCAAGUAUAAUCGAAUCUGUGUGAAUCGAUUAAUUAUCAACCCCAAACCUACAUUAAUUAACAAUUGAUUCGUGAUAUCGAACGCCAAUCUAAAAGAAAUAUAGCAAUCAUCCAGAAACAAAAGAUUAGUUCUAGAAUUCUUGCCUAUUUGUUCGUUUGUAUGUUUGUACUCGCAUCAUGUAAAAGCUAUUGAUUUAAACUAUGGAUUUUUAUGAAGUUUUCUCUAUUGCAUAGCUUAGUGUCCGGAAAGAAAAGAGGGUAGGUUGCAUCUUGAUCCUUUUUGUAGAAACUGAGACAUAGCCUGCCAUCUGAGCGGUGUACGUUCUCAUGUUUGGUCGAGCAAUUGGAAAAAAUUGGAGAGAAUAGUUUAACUACUGGCAUAAAAAAUAUCUAGAUCUUAUUCAUAAAAACAACUGUUGCUUUAACGACAACAAAAAACAAAACUGCUUUAGAUUAAAACCAUGAACUCAUCAAAUUCAUCUUUCUGUUUCUCUUCAAAUGAUAUAUUUAUUUUGACAGAAACAGAUUUACUAUUUAACGACUGGUGCUGCUUACUAAGCAAGAGGAAUAUCCAAAUCUUUUGGACUUGUUACAAACAAAAGUAUUUAUAAUCGCGAUCCACGUCAGUGACAUCCAUCAAAUAGUUUAAUCUUUAUUUGAUUUCAAAAAAACAGUUUACCUGUAAAGAUUGAACGCACGCAGACUUUAAAAUAACUUGGAGGACGAGACACGAUGAAGGUCGUGCGAUCAUUCGAUCAUUCCAAACAUGUGGAAGCAGGGAAUCGGUUACAAACGAUUUAUCAAGGAACAAAAAUGAAACUAAAGAAGUCAAUUCAUCGAUCAAAGUAUAUACUGUACGGCGCAGUAUUGUGAGUGACAAAAAUUGUUCCUGGUAUUACUUACGUCAGAGAGAAUUUGGGACUUUAGAAAAGAUUAAGGAAAAUAGCUUUCGACGAAAGGUUUAUGAACAACACCUUUAAUCCGACAGUAGAAGAACUUGCGAGAAAGGUGCACUUUCCUCUAAGUUUACAGGAAAGUAAUCGACAGAAAUCGUGGGUAAAAUAACAUAUAACGUGAUUCUCGUUCGAUCAUAAAAUAAAUUAUCAAAGUUUCAUGGAAAGUUACACGUAAACGUGUGAUGUAAUAUAUCUGAUAUCGGGAAACGCGAAUAUUCUUGUUGAUACUAUUACGUGACUAGUUUAUACAUCUUAUAUUAAAUGCUAUUAGUUCGUUCUAAUCGUGUGAGGAAUCGAUUCAUCAAAUUCUUCAAUCAAUACAGGCUAUAUGUUACUAAUAUAUAAUUAUUUCAAAUAUUUUAAUGCGCUUUAAACGAAUACCGUUUAUAAAGUAAAGCUAAUUUAACUUAUCUGUAAAAUUAUAUAAUUCCAUAAAAUUAUAUAAUUUUCUUAACAAUAUCCUUUUGAAAAUUACAAUGUUGCCUUCUUAAGAAUGACUACCUUAAAAACAUAAAUUUAACAUAUAGAUACGAAACGAAAUGUAUACAUCAGAGUACUAUACGAUAAAGAAUCGAAUGACCGAUUAUAUCUAUUAAGUGAAAUCUUCUAUUCCUGUUCUUUCUUUAAUUAGUCGAAUUGAUUAAACUAUCUGUACAUUCACUACUAUUUUAUAAUCUUGUUCAUUUUUUAUAAUUAUUUCGAUUCUUAGAAAAAAGAAAAAUGUUAAAGGAAAAUGGGUUUAAAAUCAUUCUACAAAAAUUAAGUAUGAUUUUAGCUCAUUUAGUAUAAUUAUCGCAGAAAAAAAAUUAAAAACAAGGUUACCCAUCCAAUUGUAAAAAAUGAUCAAUUUAGAAGAACGUAAACAUUAAAUAGUACAAUCUACCAAACGUAAAUAAUUAAGAGAAAUAUUUUCAGAAAUAUAAAAUUCUAAGGUAAUGUUUAGAUAAAAUUGAAAGAAUACUAAGAUCAAAAUGAUAAAGAACAUGAAUCGAUAAAAUUAUAAAUGUAAAAAUGUA